UCGCCGCGCCUGCUGGUCGGGUCUGAGAUCUUUUACCGGACUCGCUCGGCUGCAGGACGCGGUCCGACCGUGUGCACUUUCCGCGGGCAGAGCGCCACGACCGGUUCUCGGGGCGGUCAGAAGGCGGCGGGGAUGGUAGGUGUGCGCUUCGGCCUGCACUGGUAUAGCCCCGCCUGUCCCGAUCCGCUCGGGGACCGAGGAGCCGCCGUCGGCGAUUAGGGCCGCCUCGCCCUCCUGGGAUGUCCCGACUGGCAGAGACUGGGCAACCGUGUCUGCCGACCGCUUCCCUGGAUGGACUUGGGGUGGGCCCCGCCGGCACAGGGUCGGUGGCGAAUCGGUCGGCCCUCCACCCGACCCGUCUUGAAACACGGACCAAGGAGUCUAACAUGCGCGCGAGUCGUUGGGUCGUACGAAACCCGAAGGCGAAGUGAAAGCGAGGGCCGGUCUCUGACCGUGCUCAGGUGGGAUCCCUCCUCUCUUCUGAGGGGGGCGCACCACCGGCCCGUCUCGUCCGCGUCGUCGGUGAGGCGGAGCAUGAGCGUGCACGUUGGGACCCGAAAGAUGGUGAACUAUGCCUGAGUAGGACGAAGCCAGAGGAAACUCUGGUGGAGGUCCGCAGCGAUUCUGACGUGCAAAUCGAUCGUCAAACUUGGGUAUAGGGGCGAAAGAC
This 670-nucleotide ribosomal RNA is filed under the name Monoplex pilearis. RNAcentral describes it as "eukaryotic LSU rRNA". The stretch from base 372 to 670 matches the Rfam family "Eukaryotic large subunit ribosomal RNA", at positions 665 to 931 of the family's 3401-position model. Lineage: Eukaryota; Metazoa; Mollusca; Gastropoda; Littorinimorpha; Ranellidae. The record is from RNAcentral.